GUGCUCACUUCGGCAGCACGCAGACUAAAACUGGAACGAUGCAGAGAAGAUUAGCAUGGCUUCUGCACAGGGAUGACACGCACGUUUGUGAAGCGUUCCAUAUUUUU
RNAcentral lists this small nuclear RNA (107 nucleotides) under Salvator merianae (Argentine black and white tegu). Lineage: Eukaryota; Metazoa; Chordata; Lepidosauria; Squamata; Teiidae. The record is from RNAcentral.